RNAcentral lists this ribosomal RNA (253 nucleotides) under uncultured bacterium. Its description in RNAcentral is "partial 16S ribosomal RNA". It matches the Rfam family "Bacterial small subunit ribosomal RNA", at positions 524 to 776 of the family's 1533-position model. The record is from RNAcentral.
UACGGAGGGUGUGAGCGUUAAUCGGAAUCACUGGGCGUAAAGCGCGCGUAGGCGGCUUUUCAAGUCAGGGGUGAAAUCCCACGGCCCAACCGUGGAACUGCCUUUGAAACUGUAGAGCUUGAGUGUCGGAGAGGGUGGCGGAAUUCCAGGUGUAGGAGUGAAAUCCGUAGAUAUCUGGAGGAACACCGGUGGCGAAGGCGGCCACCUGGACGACAACUGACGCUGAGGUGCGAAAGCGUGGGUAGCAAACAGG